Molecule: ribosomal RNA, 235 nt
Filed under: uncultured Staphylococcus sp.
Lineage: Bacteria; Bacillati; Bacillota; Bacilli; Caryophanales; Staphylococcaceae
Description: partial 16S ribosomal RNA
Rfam family: Bacterial small subunit ribosomal RNA
Source: RNAcentral
GGUGAGUAACACGUGGAUAACCUACCUAUAAGACUGGGAUAACUUCGGGAAACCGGAGCUAAUACCGGAUAAUAUAUUGAACCGCAUGGUUCAAUAGUGAAAGACGGUUUUGCUGUCACUUAUAGAUGGAUCCGCGCCGCAUUAGCUAGUUGGUAAGGUAACGGCUUACCAAGGCAACGAUGCGUAGCCGACCUGAGAGGGUGAUCGGCCACACUGGAACUGAGCCACGGUCCAG